UGUGUACUAUAGUGCGUYCAARUAAGCCAUGUCUAGUUAGUAGCAAUUAUACCGUGAAACUGCGAAUGGCUCAUUAAAUCAGUUAUCGUUUAUUUGAUAGUACCUUACUACUUGGAUACCCGUGGUAAUUCUAGAGCUAAUACAUGCUAAAAACCCCGACUUCSGGAGGGGUGUGUUUAUUAGAUAAAAAACCAACGCCCUUCGGGGCUCCUUGGUGAUUCAUGAUAACCUCUCAGAUCGCACGGCCUUGCGCCGGCGACGGUUCAUUCAAAUUUCUGCCCUAUCAACUUUCGAUGGUAAGGUAUUGGCUUACCAUGGUUUCAACGGGUAACGGGGAAUUAGGGUUCGAUUCCGGAGAGUGAGCCUGAGAAACGGCUCACACAUCCAAGGAAGGCAGCAGGCGCGCAAAUUACCCAAUCCCGACACGGGGAGGUAGUGACAAUAAAUACUGAUACAGGGCUCUUUUGGGUCUUGUAAUUGGAAUGAGUACAAUUUAAACCUCUUAACGAGGAACAAUUGGAGGGCAAGUCUGGUGCCAGCAGCCGCGGUAAUUCCAGCUCCAAUAGCGUAUAUUAAAGUUGUUGCAGUUAAAAAGCUCGUAGUUGAAUCUUUGGCCUGGCUGGCGGGUCCGCCUCACCGCGUGCACUUGUCCGGCCGGGCCUUCUCUUCUGGAGAACCGCAUGCCCUUCACUGGGCGUGUUGGGGACCAGGACUUUUACUUUGAAAAAAUUAGAGUGUUCAAAGCAGGCCUUUGCUCGAAUACGUUAGCAUGGAAUAAUAGAAUAGGACGUGCGGUCCUAUUUUGUUGGUUUCUAGGACCGCCGUAAUGAUUAAUAGGGACAGUCGGGGGCAUCAGUAUUCAAUUGUCAGAGGUGAAAUUCUUGGAUUUAUUGAAGACUAACUACUGCGAAAGCAUUUGCCAAGGAUGUUUUCAUUAAUCAGUGAACGAAAGUUAGGGGAUCGAAGACGAUCAGAUACCGUCGUAGUCUUAACCAUAAACUAUGCCGACUAGGGAUCGGGGCGGUGUUAUCGAUUUGACCCGCUCGGCACCUUGCGAGAAAUCAAAGUGUUUGGGGUUCUGGGGGAGUAUGUCCACAGG
This 1099-nucleotide ribosomal RNA is filed under the name Dictyocheirospora nabanheensis. Its description in RNAcentral is "SSU rRNA". It matches the Rfam family "Eukaryotic small subunit ribosomal RNA", at positions 24 to 1146 of the family's 1831-position model. Lineage: Eukaryota; Fungi; Ascomycota; Dothideomycetes; Pleosporales; Dictyosporiaceae. The record is from RNAcentral.